UGCGGGGUGGAGCAGUCUGGUAGCUCGUUGGGCUCAUAACCCAAAGGUCGUAGGUUCGAAUCCUGCCCCCGCGACCA
RNAcentral lists this transfer RNA (77 nucleotides) under archaeon. RNAcentral's name for it is "tRNA-Met". It matches the Rfam family "tRNA". From Rfam's summary of the family: Transfer RNA (tRNA) molecules are approximately 80 nucleotides in length. Their secondary structure includes four short double-helical elements and three loops (D, anti-codon, and T loops). The record is from RNAcentral. RNAcentral also lists the same sequence under 4 other names.